This 484-nucleotide ribosomal RNA is filed under the name uncultured bacterium. RNAcentral's name for it is "partial 16S ribosomal RNA". It matches the Rfam family "Bacterial small subunit ribosomal RNA", at positions 30 to 507 of the family's 1533-position model. The record is from RNAcentral.
ACUGAACGCUGGCGGCAGGCCUAACACAUGCAAGUCGAGCGGAUGAAGGGAGCUUGCUCCUGGAUUCAGCGGCGGACGGGUGAGUAAUGCCUAGGAAUCUGCCUGGUAGUGGGGGAUAACGUCCGGAAACGGGCGCUAAUACCGCAUACGUCCUGAGGGUGAAAGUGGGGGAUCUUCGGACCUCACGCUAUCAGAUGAGCCUAGGUCGGAUUAGCUAGUUGGCGGGGUAAAGGCCUACCAAGGCGACGAUCCGUAACUGGUCUGAGAGGAUGAUCAGUCACACUGGAACUGGGACACGGUCCAGACUCCUACGGGAGGCAGCAGUGGGGAAUAUUGGACAAUGGGCGAAAGCCUGAUCCAGCCAUGCCGCGUGUGUGAAGAAGGUCUUCGGAUUGUAAAGCACUUUAAGUUGGGAGGAAGGGCAGUAAGUUAAUACCUUGCUGUUUUGACGUUACCAACAGAAUAAGCACCGGCUAACUUCGUG